AUGAACGCUGGCGGCGUGCCUAAUACAUGCAAGUCGAGCGAACGGACGAGAAGCUUGCUUCUCUGAUGUUAGCGGCGGACGGGUGAGUAACACGUGGAUAACCUACCUAUAAGACUGGGAUAACUUCGGGAAACCGGAGCUAAUACCGGAUAAUAUUUUGACCCGCAUGGUUCAAAAGUGAAAGACGGUCCUGCUGUCACUUAUAGAUGGAUCCGCGCUGCAUUAGCUAGUUGGUAAGGUAACGGCUUACCAAGGCAACGAUGCAUAGCCGACCUGAGAGGGUGAUCGGCCACACUGGAACUGAGACACGGUCCAGACUCCUACGGGAGGCAGCAGUAGGGAAUCUUCCGCAAUGGGCGAAAGCCUGACGGAGCAACGCCGCGUGAGUGAUGAAGGUCUUCGGAUCGUAAAACUCUGUUAUUAGGGAAGAACAUAUGUGUAAGUAACUGUGCACAUCUUGACGGUACCUAAUCAGAAAGCCACGGCUAACUACGUG
RNAcentral lists this ribosomal RNA (496 nucleotides) under uncultured bacterium. RNAcentral describes it as "partial 16S ribosomal RNA". It matches the Rfam family "Bacterial small subunit ribosomal RNA", at positions 29 to 507 of the family's 1533-position model. The record is from RNAcentral.